UACGUAGGGGGCAAGCGUUGUCCGGAAUCAUUGGGCGUAAAGAGCGUGUAGGCGGCCCGGUAAGUCUGCUGUGAAAGUCCAGGGCUCAACCCUGGGAUGCCGGUGGAUACUGUCGGGCUCGAGUCCGGAAGAGGCGAGUGGAAUUCCUGGUGUAGCGGUGGAAUGCGCAGAUAUCAGGAGGAACACCAAUAGCGAAGGCAGCUCGCUGGGACGGUACUGACGUUGAGGUGCGAAAGCGUGGGGAGCAAACAGG
This 253-nucleotide ribosomal RNA is filed under the name uncultured bacterium. Its description in RNAcentral is "partial 16S ribosomal RNA". It matches the Rfam family "Bacterial small subunit ribosomal RNA", at positions 524 to 776 of the family's 1533-position model. The record is from RNAcentral.